AGUGAACGCUGGCGGCGUGCCUAAUACAUGCAAGUCGAACGAAGUGGCUCACGGGUGCGUAAUAUAUAGUUAAUCUGCCCUCCACAGAGGAACAACCGUUGGAAACGACUGCUAAUACCUCAUAGUGUAGGAUGAGACUAUAUCGUAUCAGCUAGUUGUUAAGGUAAUGGCUUACCAAGGCUAUGACGCGUAACUGGUCUGCGAGGAUGAUCAGGCACAUUGGAACUGAGACACGGUCCAAACUCCUACGGGAGGCAGCAGUAAGGAAUAUUGAGCAAUGGGGGAAACCCUGACGAAGCAACGCCGCGUGGAGGAUGACACUUGUCGGAGCGUAAACUCCUUGUAGCAGGAAAGCGGUACCUGAUGAAUAAGGACCGGCUAACUCCGUGCCAGCAGCGGCGGUAAUUC
This 408-nucleotide ribosomal RNA is filed under the name uncultured bacterium. RNAcentral's name for it is "partial 16S ribosomal RNA". It matches the Rfam family "Bacterial small subunit ribosomal RNA", at positions 29 to 526 of the family's 1533-position model. The record is from RNAcentral.